RNAcentral lists this ribosomal RNA (273 nucleotides) under uncultured prokaryote. RNAcentral's name for it is "partial 16S ribosomal RNA". It matches the Rfam family "Bacterial small subunit ribosomal RNA", at positions 524 to 796 of the family's 1533-position model. The record is from RNAcentral.
UACGGAGGGUGCAAGCGUUGUUCGGAAUUAUUGGGCGUAAAGGGCGCGUAGGCGGUAAUGUAAGUCAGAUGUGAAAUACUCCGGCUCAACCAGAGAACAGCAUCUGAAACUGCAUAACUAGAGUACAGAAGAGGGAAACGGAAUUCCCGGUGUAGAGGUGAAAUUCGUAGAUAUCGGGAGGAACACCAGUGGCGAAGGCGGUUUCCUGGUCUGAUACUGACGCUGAGGCGCGAAAGCGUGGGGAGCAAACAGGAUUAGAAACCCUUGUAGUCC